AACGCACGAGACCUGCGGACCUGCGGAAGGAUCAUUACAUGGCGGAGGAGGUGGGCACCUAGUAAAACAAAACCCUAGGUGUGUUGCCUACCACGCUUUCUACCCUUGUCUAUUUGCACCUUUUGUCGUUCCCUCGGUGGGUCUUGAACCUGCCGGCGGCAACUUUCAAAAACCUUUUGUAGUUAGUAUCUAAUUCUUCUGAUCAAAUAUUCAAUCGUUACAACUUUUAACAAUGGAUCU
RNAcentral lists this unclassified non-coding RNA (240 nucleotides) under soil metagenome. RNAcentral describes it as "partial contains 5.8S ribosomal RNA, internal transcribed spacer 2, and large subunit ribosomal RNA". The record is from RNAcentral.